This 45-nucleotide transfer RNA is filed under the name Provespa nocturna. RNAcentral's name for it is "partial tRNA-Leu". The record is from RNAcentral. Lineage: Eukaryota; Metazoa; Arthropoda; Insecta; Hymenoptera; Vespidae. RNAcentral also lists the same sequence under 2 other names.
AUUUUAAGCAUCAAAUAUAAAAAAUUUAUUAUUUUUUUAUUAUAA